AGAGUUUGAUCCUGGCUCAGGAUGAACGCUAGCGGCAGGCUUAACACAUGCAAGUCGAGGGGCAGCAAGGGUAGCAAUACCUGUUGGCGACCGGCAAACGGGCGCGGAACACGUACGCAAUUUACCUCUAUCUGGAAGAUAGCCCGGAGAAAUCCGGAUUAAUACUCCAUAGUAUAUNGGGAAGGCAUCUUCUUAAUAUUAAAGCUCAGGCGGAUAGAGAUGAGCGUGCGUCCCAUUAGGUAGUUGGUGAGGUAACGGCUCACCAAGCCAACGAUGGGUAGCUGAUGUGAGAGCAUGAUCAGCCACACGGGCACUGAGACACGGGCCCGACUCCUACGGGAGGCAGCAGUGAGGAAUAUUGGGCAAUGGACGCAAGUCUGACCCAGCCAUGCCGCGUGCAGGAUGAAGGCGUUCUGCGUUGUAAACUGCUUUUAUCUGGGAAGAAACCUGAGUAUUCUUAUUCAGCCGACGGUACCAGAUGAAUAAGCACCGGCUAACUCCGUGCCAGCAGCCGCGGUAAUACGGAGGGUGCAAGCGUUAUCCGGAUUCACUGGGUUUAAAGGGUGUCUAGGCGGAUAUUUAAGUCAGUGGUGAAAUCUCCAGGCUCAACCUGGAAACUGCCAUUGAUACUAUUUAUCUUGAAUUCUGUUGAGGUGGGCGGAAUACAUCAUGUAGCGGUGAAAUGCUUANAUAUGAUGUAGAACACCGAUUGCGAA
Molecule: ribosomal RNA, 716 nt
Filed under: uncultured bacterium
Lineage: Bacteria
Description: bacterial SSU rRNA
Rfam family: Bacterial small subunit ribosomal RNA
Source: RNAcentral